Molecule: long non-coding RNA, 712 nt
Filed under: Homo sapiens (human)
Lineage: Eukaryota; Metazoa; Chordata; Mammalia; Primates; Hominidae
Description: non-protein coding lnc-SULT4A1-3:1
Source: RNAcentral
UUUAUACCAGCCAAAACUUAAUGCCAUUGAUAACAUACAGUGAACAUAACACAGAAAGAGUAUGCCAUCUCUUCUGUCCUGGCCUUGCCAGACCUUGUCAUGUAUCAAAAUCACCAUAUUGAGGAAGUUUCUGAAUAUCCGAUAGUAGUUGGUUAAGUUGGAAGCAGCAUGAAGAUUAAAAAGGUAUGACCUGGAAUCAUAUUUUAAAAGUCUCUGUCUCUGAGUAUAUGAGAGCUGGUAAGGGCAAAAUGUGGAAUUAUUGUAUCGAGCAUAGAGGACCUUGUAUCAUCUAUAAUAAUGGUAGAAACAUCAUCAUCUCUUCAGAAACACCCAAUGAAUGAUUUUGCUUAAAAUGAUCAGGCUGAACCUUUUGAGAUUUGCUUCAGAUGGACGUGUAGGACAUUUCUACAUAUGGACGGAGAGGGCCCCUUGCAUAUUAGAUAAUCCGUGUGGCACUUGGUACGAUGCUACUUCCAUGAAGAAUAACUACAAUCGUUCGUGUACAAAACGGUCAUUAUAAAUCUCAGCAGAAGUGUUUAAAAGCUUUCUGAGCACCACACAAGAAGACUUACUGAGAGUUCUGAAGAAAAAUCUCCUAAAGAACCUGAGAAUUCUGUUGAAGCUAAAUCUAUUCACCAGUACUGUGUAUUGCAAGAUUCUUUGGCAGUCUAGGUAUCAGAGAUUCAGAUGGAUAAAGGAAACAGCAUCAACA